This 2287-nucleotide long non-coding RNA is filed under the name Mus musculus (house mouse). RNAcentral describes it as "predicted gene, 47221". The record is from RNAcentral. Lineage: Eukaryota; Metazoa; Chordata; Mammalia; Rodentia; Muridae.
UUUUUUUUCCAUUUUUUAUUAGGUAUUUAACUCAUUUACAUUUCCAAUGCUAUACCAAAAGUCCCCCAUAUCCACCCACCCCCACUCCCCUGCCCACCCACUCCCCCUUUUUGGCCCUGGUGUUCCCCUGUACUGGGGCAUAUAAAGUUUGCAAGUCCAAUGGGCCUCUCUUUCCAGUGAUGGCCGACUAGGCCAUCUUUUGAUAUAUAUGCAGCUAGAGUCAAGAGCUCCGGGGUACUGGUUAGUUCAUAAUGUUGUUCCACCUAUAGGGUUGCAGAUCCCUUUAGCUCCUUGGCUACUUUCUCUAGCUCCUCCAUUGGGAGCCCUAUGAUCCAUCCAUUAGCUGACUGUGAGCAUCCACUUCUGUGUUUGCUAGGCCCCAGCAUAGUCUCACAAGAGACAGCUACAUCUGGGUCCUUUCGAUAAAAUCUUGCUAGUGUAUGCAAUGGUGUCAGCGUUUGGAUGCUGAUGAUGGGGUGGAUCCCUGGAUAUGGCAGUCUCUACAUGGUCCAUCCUUUCAUCUCAGCUCCAAACUUUGUCUCUGUAACUCCUUCCAUGGGUGUUUUGUUCCCAAAUCUAAGGAGGGGCAUAGUGUCCACACUUCAGUCUUCAUUCUUCUUCAGUUUCAUGUGUUUAGCAAAUUAUAUCUUAUAUCUUGGGUAUCCUAGGUUUGGGGCUAAUAUCCACUUAUCAGUGAAUACAUAUUGUGUGAGUUUCUUUGUGAAUGUGUUACCUCACUCAGGAUGAUGCCCUCCAGGUCCAUCCAUUUGGCUAGGAAUUUCAUAAAUUCAUUCUUUUUAAUAGCUGAGUAGUACUCCAUUGUGUAGAUGUACCACAUUUUCUGUAUCCAUUCCUCUGUUGAGGGGCAUCUAGGUUCUUUCCAGCUUCUGGCUAUUAUAAAUAAGGCUGCUAUGAACAUAGUGGAGCAUGUGUCCUUCUUACCUGUUGGGGCAUCUUCUGGAUAUAUGCCCAGGAGAGGUAUUGCUGGAUCCUCCAUAGUACUAUGUCCAGUUUUCUGAGGAACCGCCAGACUGAUUUCCAGAGUGGUUGUACAAGCCUGCACUCCCACCAACAAUGGAGGAGUGUUCCUCUUUCUCCACAUCCACGCCAGCAUCUGCUGUCACCUGAAUUUUUGAUCUUAGCCAUUCUGACUGGUGUGAGGUGGAAUCUCAGGGUUGUUUUGAUUUGCAUUUCCCUGAUGAUUAAGGAUGUUGAACAUUUUUUCAAGUGCUUCUCUGCCAUUCGGUAUUCCUCUGGUGAGAAUUCUUUGUUCAGUUCUGAGCCCCAUUUUUUAAUGGGGUUAUUUGAUUUUCUGAAGUCCACCUUCUUGAGUUCUUUAUAUAUGUUGGAUAUUAGUCCCCUAUCUGAUUUAGGAUAGGUAAAGAUCCUUUCCCAAUCUGUUGGUGGUCUUUUUGUCUUAUUGACGGUGUCUUUUGCCUUGCAGAAACUUUGGAGUUUCAUUAGGUCCCAUUUGUCAAUUCUCGAUCUUACAGCACAAGCCAUUGCUGUUCUGUUCAGGAAUUUUUCCCCUGUGCCCAUAUCUUCAAGGCUUUUCACCACUUUCUCCUCUAUAAGUUUCAGUGUCUCUGGUUUUAUGUGAAGUUCCUUGAUCCACUUAGAUUUGACCUUAGUACAAGGAGAUAAAUAUGGAUCGAUUCGCAUUCUUCUACAAGAUAACAACCAGUUGUGCCAGCACCAAUUGUUGAAAAUGCUGUCUUUCUUCCACUGGAUGGUUUUAGCUCCCUUGUCGAAGAUCAAGUGACCAUAGGUGUGUGGGUUCAUUUCUGGGUCUUCAAUUCUAUUCCAUUGGUCUACUUGUCUGUCUCUAUACCAGUACCAUGCAGUUUUUAUCACAAUUGCUCUGUAGUAAAGCUUUAGGUCUGGCAUGGUGAUUCCGCCAGAAGUUCUUUUAUCCUUGAGAAGACUUUUUGCUAUCCUAGGUUUUUUGUUAUUCCAGACAAAUUUGCAAAUUGCUCCUUCCAAUUCGUUGAAGAAUUGAGUUGGAAUUUUGAUGGGGAUUGCAUUGAAUCUGUAGAUUGCUUUUGGCAAGAUAGCCAUUUUUACAAUGUUGAUCCUGCCAAUCCAUGAGCAUGGGAGAUCUUUCCAUCUUCUGAGAUCUUCCUUAAUUUCUUUCUUCAGAGAUUUGAAGUUUUUAUCAUACAGAUCUUUCACUUCCUUAGUUAGAGUCACGCCAAGAUAUUUUAUAUUAUUUGUGACUAUUGAGAAGGGUGUUGUUUCCCUAAUUUCUUUCUCAGCCUGUUUAUUCUUUGUAUAGAGAAAGGCCAUU